Molecule: long non-coding RNA, 1280 nt
Organism: Humulus lupulus (European hop)
Lineage: Eukaryota; Viridiplantae; Streptophyta; Magnoliopsida; Rosales; Cannabaceae
Exons: 2
Source: RefSeq, a predicted model, not a curated record
GGUUAAAUGGUAAUUCUUCCAUUCUAAUUUAUGAACUAAUUAAUUAGAGGGUUGAACUAUUGCAAGAUGGUUAUAUCUAUGGACGACUUAAGAAAAAGAUUUCUGUAAAAGUAUAUCUAUAACAUAAAGAGUGCAAUUCUGAAUUUAUAGUGGAGUAAUAUCAGAAUUAAUAAAUUAACUAUUAUAGUUAAAGAGUUUAAUUAUUUAGUUUCAAUUUAUUGGAGCUUAAUGUUAUAGGUCCAUGGUCCCCGAAAUGGCUCAAAUAAUCACUGUCAAAGGCAAAUACAAAAAUGGGCAAAAAGGACUUAUGUGAUAACUAAAAUAUUUUUCUAUGUAUCAAACAUAAUUAUUGAUUAAUUAUGUGUAAUUAAUUAAUUAAGAAUUAAUUAAUUAUUUGAUUUAACAAAAAUAUAAUUAAUUUUGAAUUAAUUUAUUUUUUGGGAUUUUUUGGUAUUUAAAUAAUAAUAAAAUUGGGAAAAAUCACAUGCUUGCACAUGCAUGCAGUACACGUGUGGCACAGUGCAUGUGCACUGUGCUACACGCAUAAGAGAGAGACUUGGUCUCUUGAUUCCACAAUUUUAGUUAUUUAAAUAUUAAAUAAAUAAUGAGAUAUUUUGAUUUGAUUUAAAUAUUAUUAUUUAAACAAAAAUCUGAUAACUGAUCAGUUAUUUUGAAUUUGUUUAAAAUAACAAAUAUUUUAAUAUAUUGGAUAUUAUUAAAUAUUGGAUAUCAGUUUUCACAGAACGCAAGUUUUCAGGGAUAGAAAAAUAUCUAGAAUUCUCUCAGAGAAGAAGAUCAGUGACAAAAACAAAGGUCAUUAUUCUUCACAAAACCUUGGUCCAAACUUUAUCAGAUCUCAUGUGUUGAGAAUAUCUGAUAAAUAGUUAUUGCCUAUUAUUUGUAUAGUGAGCCCACACUCGUUCUUUGGGUGACUGAGAACAUUUUUGAAGAUCUUGGUGUGAGAUCUCAAGGAUUCAGCCAUACGAAAAGAUAGCAGCAAGGAAGGACCUGAGUGUGAUGCAGGAAAAUAGAUACAAAGGCGAAAGGAUUCUUGAAAACUUGUUGUGUGUGCUGAGAUGAAUGGAGUGGAUGGGCUGCGUGUCGAUUCAAGGACGACAUUAUUUUCUUUAGUCUCUUUAAAUUACAUUUUUAUGUAUUUUUCCGCAUUUAGCUUUGUAAACAAUUUCAUUUAAAGUUAUGUUUUAUUUUGAAACAAUGAGCUCAUUUAUGUAUUACAAAUAUUAUUUUAAAGUUUUCAAUAAAGUUAUGAAUUUUCACAU